Molecule: ribosomal RNA, 1439 nt
Filed under: uncultured bacterium
Lineage: Bacteria
Description: bacterial SSU rRNA
Rfam family: Bacterial small subunit ribosomal RNA
Source: RNAcentral
AGGGUUUGAUCAUGGCUCAGAACGUACGCUGGCGGCACGCCUAAUACAUGCAAGUCGAACGAAGUAGCAAUACUUAGUGGCAGACGGGUGAGUAACAUGUGGGUAUCUUCCCUUUGGUGAGGAAUAACACGAGGAAACUUGUGCUAAUACCUCAUAAGUCUUUACGGAGAAAGCUUUAUGCGCCAAUGGAUGAGCCCGCACUUGAUUAGUUUGUUGGUGAGGUAAUGGCUCACCAAGACUUUGAUCAAUAGCUGAUUUGAGAGGAUGAUCAGCCACAUUGGGACUGAGACACGGCCCAAACUCCUACGGGAGGCAGCAGUAGGGAAUCUUGCACAAUGGGGGAAACCCUGAUGCAGCGAUGCCGCGUGAGUGAAGAAGGCCUUUGGGUUGUAAAGCUCUUUCGUCGGGGAAGAAAAUGACUGUACCCGAAUAAGAAGGUCCGGCUAACUUCGUGCCAGCAGCCGCGGUAAUACGAAGGGACCUAGCGUAGUUCGGAAUUACUGGGCUUAAAGAGUUCGUAGGUUGUUAAAAAAGUUGGUGGUGAAAUCCCAGAGCUUAACUCUGGAACUGCCAUCAAAACUUUUUAGCUAGAGUUUGAUAGAGGAAAGCAGAAUUUCUAGUGUAGAGGUGAAAUUCGUAGAUAUUAGAAAGAAUACCAAUUGCGAAGGCAGCUUUCUGGAUCAUUACUGACACUGAGGAACGAAAGCAUGGGUAGCGAAGAGGAUUAGAUACCCUCGUAGUCCAUGCCGUAAACGAUGUGUGUUAGACGUUGGAAAUUUAUUUUCAGUGUCACAGCGAAAGCAAUAAACACACCGCCUGGGGAGUACGACCGCAAGGUUAAAACUCAAAUGAAUUGACGGGGACCCGCACAAGUAGUGGAGCAUGUGGUUUAAUUCGAAGAUACGCGCAGAACCUUACCAACACUUGACAUGUUCGUCGCGACUUUAAGAGAUUAAAGUUUUCGGUUCGGCCGGACGAAACACAGGUGCUGCAUGGCUGUCGUCAGCUCGUGUCGUGAGAUGUUGGGUUAAGUCCCGCAACGAGCGCAACCCUCACUUUUAGUUGCCAUCAUUUAGUUGGGCACUCUGAAAGAACUGCCAGUGAUAAGCUGGAGGAAGGUGGGGAUGACGUCAAGUCCUCAUGGCCCUUACGUGUUGGGCUACACACGUGCUACAAUGGCAUUUACAACAGGAAGCAAAACGGCGACGUUAAGCAAAUCCUAAAAAAAUGCCUCAGUUCGGAUUGUACUCUGCAACUCGAGUACAUGAAGCUGGAAUUACUAGUAAUCGCGGAUCAGCGCGCCGCGGUGAAUACGUUCCCGGGUCUUGUACACACCGCCCGUCACACCAUGGGAGUUGGUUCUACCUUAAGGCAAAGGUUAAAAACUUUGACCACGGUAUAGUCAGCGACUGGGGUGAAGUCAUAACAAGGUAGCCGUA